UACGGGGGGGGCAAGCGUUGUUCGGAAUUACUGGGCGUAAAGGGCUCGUAGGCGGCCAACUAAGUCAGACGUGAAAUCCCUCGGCUUAACCGGGGAACUGCGUCUGAUACUGGAUGGCUAGAGUGUGGGAGAGGGAUGCGGAAUUCCAGGUGUAGCGGUGAAAUGCGUAGAUAUCUGGAGGAACACCGGUGGCGAAGGCGGCAUCCUGGACCACGACUGACGCUGAGGAGCGAAAGCGUGGGGAGCGAACAGG
This 253-nucleotide ribosomal RNA is filed under the name uncultured bacterium. RNAcentral's name for it is "partial 16S ribosomal RNA". It matches the Rfam family "Bacterial small subunit ribosomal RNA", at positions 524 to 776 of the family's 1533-position model. The record is from RNAcentral.